RNAcentral lists this ribosomal RNA (255 nucleotides) under uncultured bacterium. Its description in RNAcentral is "partial 16S ribosomal RNA". It matches the Rfam family "Bacterial small subunit ribosomal RNA", at positions 793 to 1055 of the family's 1533-position model. The record is from RNAcentral.
GUCCACGCCGUAAACGAUGGAUACUAGCUGUUGGGGGCAACUUCAGUGGCUAAGCGAAAGUGAUAAGUAUCCCACCUGGGGGAGUACGAACGCAAGUUUGAAACUCAAAGGAAUUGACGGGGGCCCGCACAAGCGGUGGAGCAUGUGGUUUAAUUCGAUGAUACGCGAGGAACCUUACCAAGGCUUAAAUGUAGAUUGACAGGACAGGAAACUGUUUUUCUUCGGACAAUUUACAAGGUGCUGCAUGGUUGUCGU